RNAcentral lists this long non-coding RNA (2346 nucleotides) under Felis catus (domestic cat). Its description in RNAcentral is "lncRNA (ENSFCAG00000052489.1)". Lineage: Eukaryota; Metazoa; Chordata; Mammalia; Carnivora; Felidae. The record is from RNAcentral.
UGUUUACCUUUCAAACAUAUACAUUGCUUUUUUACCACAUCGCGUUUCCCACAUAUAAAAAUGUAAACCCAAAUUGAAAUAACUGAACAACAGUUUAGGACUAUGCCAUUUGCUUUCAUUUCUUCAUGAUUAUAGGGACUUAGCAUACACACACACACACAUCACAUCACAAAAUAGGCGCUUUCAUGCCCCUGGGCUUUUAUUGAAGUUGUGGCUUCAAUUCCCUGUUGCCCUUUCUCCUUUUCUUCCCCAGAGUGAAUCCUUGAUCCUUGUCCAUUCCCCUUCAGCUCCAGUAUCUUCUCCUUGGUCCUACCUUUUCCCAACUUGGCCCACCCCCUGUUGAAAGAAUGAAACAUCCCUGUUCUCUGCUCCCGGAGCUUUUUCCCACGUGGUUAAAACCCAGCUGGGGCGCCUGGGUGGCUCGGUCAGUUGAGCAUCCAACUCUUGAUCUCAGCUCAGGUCUUCAUCCUAGGUUGUGAGCUCAAGCCCCGUGUGGGGCUCCCUGCUGGGCGUGAAGCCUGCUUAAAAAACAAAACAAAACAAACAAACAAACAAAAACCCACAUAGCAAUCAGUGGCAUAAAUGAAUAGAAGAAUGUUAUUUAGUUUUUAAGAAACGCUACCUCAGUACUCCAUAAAUGAGCGUUAAACUGCUAUAGCCAAACAAGAUAGACCCAAAAUAGAAGGGCACUCGCAAGAUGGAAGUUUCUUUCUUCCGGGGCACCUGGGUAGCUCUGUCGGUUCAGCGUCAGACUCCGGCUCAGGUCGAGACCUCACGGUUCGUGGGUUCGAGCCCCACAUCGGGACCUCCACUGCCAGCACGGAGCCCACUUUGGAUACUCUGUCUCCCAGAUCCAAGCAUUCGCCUGGCUUGGAGAUUUCCUUCACCCUGCUGGCCUCUGGGAAGAGCUAGAGGAAUGUGAAUUUCCCAGUCGGGGUCCUCAUUCUCCAUGCUUCCUGCUCAACAUCACUCUCUCAGUCCUUCAUCCCCUAGACAUGUCAGGGAACCUCUGCACGCAAGCUCAGACGUACCUGGUACUGUGGCUUGAAUUAUGUCCCCCCCAAAUGAUAGGUUGACAUCCUAACCUCCAGUAGCUAAAAUGUGAUCUUAUUUGGAAGUAGGGUCUUUACGGAAGUAAUGAGGUUAAAAUGGGGUCAUCUGGGCAGGCCUAAUCCAAUAUGACUGGUGUCUUUAUAAAAAGGGGCAAUUUGGACACGGUCCCCCACGUAGCGAAAAUGCCACGCGGACGUGAAUGUAGAGAGCAGGGUAAUGUGUCUAUAAGCCAAGGAAUGCCAAAGAUCGCCAGCAAACCUUCACAAAGGAGGGGAGAGGCACGGAAGAGAUUCUCCGCCACACAAACCCUACCAACACUCUGAUCUUAGACUUCCAGCCUCCAAAACCAUGAGACAAUACAUGCCUGUUGUUUAAGCCACCCACUUUGUGGUGCUUUGUUAUGACAGCCCAAGCUGACACACUUGGGAACCUCGCCCACUCACAGCCUGCAUCCUGGCCAUCGUUCCAGAAGGUCCUACCACAAGCCCCCCGGGGACAGGGAAACUAGACAUCACACCAGGGUCACUGGGCCAUCAAGUCACAGAGCUGGCAAGGGCACUGCAGAAGCUAAGUCAUCUGCGGAUCAAAACUGCAAUGAGUCUAUCACCUGACACCCAUCGGAAUGGCCACUACCGGACCCCAGAAAAUAACAAAGUGUUGACAAGGAUGCGGAGAAAUCGGAAUCCUGGUGAACUGCUGGUGGGAAGGUAAAAAUGGCAUGCUGCGGAAGACGGCAUGAAGGUUCUUCAACGAACUGAACCAGAAUUGCUACAUGACCCAACAACUCCACUUCUGGCUAUAGAUCCAAAGGGACUGAGAGCAGGGUCUUGAAGAGAUAACGGCAUACCCACAUCCACUGCAGUAUUAUUCACCAUAGCCACGAGGUAGACGUAGCACAAGUACCCGUCCUCAGACGCAUGGAUACACUGCGGUAGAUACACGGUCACCCAGAAAAUUAAGGAGAUCCUGUCACGUGCUCCAACAUGGUUGACCCUUGAGGACCCUAUGCUGGGUGAAAUGAGCCGGUCACCAAAGGACAAAUACUGUAUGAUCCUACUUACAUGGGGUAUCUGCAGUAGUCAAAAUCAUGGAAACAGAAGGCAGAGGAAUGUUUGCCAGGGGACGGGGGGGAGGGGAGCACGGGGAGCUAUUCAACGGGUAUUGAGUUUCAGUUUCACAAGGUGAAAAGUUCUGGAGAUCUGUUACACAAUAAUGUGGAUACAGUUAACACUACUAAACUGCACACCUAAAAAUUAAGAGAAUAAACUUUACGUUAUGUGGGUUUGUUAACCA